AAAAAAACAUUCUAAAAAUAGUCCAAAAUUAAAUUUAUAUACCCAAUAUAUUCCUGCCGGAACUUGUUUGACCAGUGACAGAGUCUACGCGCGCCGGAGAGACAACCGGAGUGAGCUGGCCCACUGACUGUGGCAGGGAUGGGACCAGGUCUACUGGCCUUAGCCAGAACUCACCGAAGACGGAGAGCAGCGAAUACUAAAAUAUAAUCAAUGCAAAAAUUAAUUUAGCUAACCACAAAUACUAAAAAAAAAAACAUUCUAAAAAUAGUCCAAAAUUAAAUUUAUAUACCCAAUAUAUUCCUGCCGGAACUUGUUUGACCAGUGACAGAGUCUACGCGCGCCGGAGAGACAACCGGAGUGAGCUGGCCCACUGACUGUGGCAGGGAUGGGACCAGGUCUACUGGCCUUAGCCAGAACUCACCGAAGACGGAGAGCAGCGAAGGAUCAGUUGCUGAAUCAACCAAAACGGGCAGCUGUGCUCACCAGAGCUGCGAUCGAACGGCGCGACGUCAAGCGACGACUGUGGCUGAGGUCACGAGGAGCA
Molecule: long non-coding RNA, 544 nt
Filed under: Jatropha curcas
Lineage: Eukaryota; Viridiplantae; Streptophyta; Magnoliopsida; Malpighiales; Euphorbiaceae
Description: long non-coding RNA (JCUR_LNC001508)
Source: RNAcentral